UACGAAGGGGGCUAGCGUUGCUCGGAAUCACUGGGCGUAAAGCGCACGUAGGCGGAUUGUUAAGUCAGGGGUGAAAUCCUGGAGCUCAACUCCAGAACUGCCUUUGAUACUGGCGAUCUUGAGUCCGGGAGAGGUGAGUGGAACUGCGAGUGUAGAGGUGAAAUUCGUAGAUAUUCGCAAGAACACCAGUGGCGAAGGCGGCGAUCUGGGAAGAUACUGACGCUGAGGUGCGAAAGCGUGGGGAGCAAACGGG
This 253-nucleotide ribosomal RNA is filed under the name uncultured bacterium. RNAcentral describes it as "partial 16S ribosomal RNA". It matches the Rfam family "Bacterial small subunit ribosomal RNA", at positions 524 to 776 of the family's 1533-position model. The record is from RNAcentral.